Molecule: ribosomal RNA, 504 nt
Filed under: uncultured bacterium
Lineage: Bacteria
Description: partial 16S ribosomal RNA
Rfam family: Bacterial small subunit ribosomal RNA
Source: RNAcentral
AUUGAACGCUGGCGGCAGGCCUAACACAUGCAAGUCGAACGGUAGCACAGAGAGCUUGCUCUCGGGUGACGAGUGGCGGACGGGUGAGUAAUGUCUGGGAAACUGCCCGAUGGAGGGGGAUAACUACUGGAAACGGUAGCUAAUACCGCAUAACGUCGCAAGACCAAAGUGGGGGACCUUCGGGCCUCACACCAUCGGAUGUGCCCAGAUGGGAUUAGCUAGUAGGUGGGGUAAUGGCUCACCUAGGCGACGAUCCCUAGCUGGUCUGAGAGGAUAGCCAGCCCCACGGGAACUGAGACACGGUCCAGACUCCUACGGGAGGCAGCAGUGGGGAAUAUUGCACAAUGGGCGCAAGCCUGAUGCAGCCAUGCCGCGUGUAUGAAGAAGGCCUUCGGGUUGUAAAGUACUUUCAGCGGGGAGGAAGGCGGUGAAGUUAAUAACUUCACCGAUUGACGUUACCCGCAGAAGAAGCACCGGCUAACUCCGUGCCAGCAGCCGCCGUAA